This 217-nucleotide long non-coding RNA is filed under the name Elaeis guineensis (African oil palm). RNAcentral's name for it is "long non-coding RNA (EGUI_LNC031742)". Lineage: Eukaryota; Viridiplantae; Streptophyta; Magnoliopsida; Arecales; Arecaceae. The record is from RNAcentral.
GGCAACAAUUAGUAUUAAAUCCUUGAUUCUCUAUUAGUUAUUGAUCUCACGAUCAAGAGAUAAAGAUCACGACAACACAAUUGGAAGAUUCACUUGCUGAAGGGCAAUCCACCAACAGACCAUCACUUUUCAAUGGCACAAAUUACAUAUAUUGGAAAGCUCAUAUAAGAAUUUUAUUCAAGCUCUUGAUUAUUAUAUGUGGAGUGUCAUAAUCAAU